AGAGACAGCAGUCGCCGCGGGAAUACGUAGGGUGCAAGCGUUAAUCGGAAUUACUGGGCGUAAAGCGUGCGCAGGCGGCUUCUUAAGUCGGAUGUGAAAUCCCUGAGCUUAACUUAGGAAUUGCAUUCGAUACUGGGAAGCUAGAGUAUGGGAGAGGAUGGUAGAAUUCCAGGUGUAGCGGUGAAAUGCGUAGAGAUCUGGAGGAAUACCGAUGGCGAAGGCAGCCAUCUGGCCUAAUACUGACGCUGAGGUACGAAAGCAUGGGGAGCAAACAGGAUUAGAUACCCGUGUAGUCCCUGUCUCUUAUAA
RNAcentral lists this ribosomal RNA (309 nucleotides) under uncultured bacterium. RNAcentral's name for it is "partial 16S ribosomal RNA". It matches the Rfam family "Bacterial small subunit ribosomal RNA", at positions 504 to 809 of the family's 1533-position model. The record is from RNAcentral.